This 497-nucleotide ribosomal RNA is filed under the name uncultured bacterium. RNAcentral's name for it is "partial 16S ribosomal RNA". It matches the Rfam family "Bacterial small subunit ribosomal RNA", at positions 28 to 507 of the family's 1533-position model. The record is from RNAcentral.
GAUGAACGCUGGCGGCGUGCCUAAUACAUGCAAGUCGAGCGAACAGACGAGGAGCUUGCUCCUCUGACGUUAGCGGCGGACGGGUGAGUAACACGUGGAUAACCUACCUAUAAGACUGGGAUAACUUCGGGAAACCGGAGCUAAUACCGGAUAAUAUAUUGAACCGCAUGGUUCAAUAGUGAAAGACGGUUUUGCUGUCACUUAUAGAUGGAUCCGCGCCGCAUUAGCUAGUUGGUAAGGUAACGGCUUACCAAGGCAACGAUGCGUAGCCGACCUGAGAGGGUGAGCGCCCACACGGGAACGGAGACAGGGUCCAGCCCCCUACGGGAGGGGGCAGGAGGAAAUCUGCAGCAAGGGGCGAAAGUUUGAGGGAGCACCGCCGGGGGAGUAAAAAGGGUUUUCGGAUGGUAAAACUCUUUUAUAGGGGAAAAAAAAUUGUGAAAGAAAAUAGACCCGUCUGGACGGUACCUAAUCAAAAAGCCACGGCAAACUCCGGG